AUAAUUUUUGUUUUAGAAAUUUUUAUUAAAAAUAGGAUAAAUUUGUGCCAGCAUUCGCGGUUAGACAAAUAAGAUUUUAUUGAAUUAUUUAAAUUUAAAAAUUAUUAAUUAUAUUGAUUUAAGUUUUAUUAUAUAAAAAUUAAAUUAAGGUGAAAUUUUAUUAAUUUUGAUUAAUAAAUUUAAUUUUUAGUAUUAAUAAAUAUUUUGAAAAUUUGUAAAAAACUAGGAUUAGAUACCCUAUUAUUGUUAUUGUAAAAUUAUAUUAAUAUUAUAUAUAUAUAUAUAUAUAUAUAUAUAUGUAUAGUAUGUUAUUAUUAUAUUGUUUAAAAAAAAAUAUUAUAGUUAUUUUGGUUAGGUAGUAAUAGUUAUGUUCUUGAAACUUAAAGAAUUUGACGGUAAUUCAUUCAUAUUAGAGGAACUUGUUUUUUAAUUGAUAUUCCACGAUAAUAAAUACUUAAAUUUUAUAAUUAAAUUUGUAUAUCGUCGUUUAAAAAAGAUUUUAUUAGAAUUUUUUAAUUUUUUAAAUAUUAUUUUAUUAUUAAUUAAUAAAAUAAUAAUAAUUCAGAUCAAGGUGCAGUUUAUAUUUAAGUUAAAAUGAGUUACAAUAAAUUUAAUUUAUUAUGGAGUUAAAAUUUUAAUAUUUUAAUGAAGGCGGAUUUAAAAGUAAAUUUAAAUAAUUAUCUAAAUUGAAAAUUUGUUUUGAAUUAUGUACAUAUCGCCCGUCACUCUCAUUAUAAAGUGAGAUAAGUCGUAACAAAGUAAGGGUACUGGAAAGUGUUCUUAGAAUUAGUUUAUUUGGUU
This 801-nucleotide ribosomal RNA is filed under the name Janus sp. RNAcentral's name for it is "12S ribosomal RNA". The record is from RNAcentral. Lineage: Eukaryota; Metazoa; Arthropoda; Insecta; Hymenoptera; Cephidae.